RNAcentral lists this ribosomal RNA (253 nucleotides) under uncultured bacterium. Its description in RNAcentral is "partial 16S ribosomal RNA". It matches the Rfam family "Bacterial small subunit ribosomal RNA", at positions 524 to 776 of the family's 1533-position model. The record is from RNAcentral.
UACGGAGGUGGCUAGCGUUGUUCGGAAUUACUGGGCGUAAAGCGCGCGUAGGCGGACCUGCAAGUCGGGUGUGAAAGCCCGAGGCUCAACCUCGGAACUGCCUUCGAUACUGCGGGUCUCGAGUCCGGGAGAGGUGAGUGGAAUUCCUAGUGUAGAGGUGAAAUUCGUAGAUAUUCGCAAGAACACCAGUGGCGAAGGCGGCUAACUGGCCCGGUACUGACGCUGAGAUACGAAAGCGUGGGGAGCAAACAGG